AGCUCUACUUUCUCAAGACUCUACUUUGUUGACAGAAGAAUCCAGAAGAGAACUGGUCAACUCUUGAAAUUUUAAGUCAUGGCCCAAGAGCUGGUAACGUUCAGAGAUGUGGCUAUAGACUUCUCUGAGGAAGAGUGGGAGUGCCUGAAUAUGGAACAGAGGACUUUAUACACAGAUGUGAUGAUGGAGACCUACAGCCACCUCAUCUCAGUGGGAUUCUGUGUUCAUCUGCCACACCUGUUCUCCUUAUUAGAAAAAAGAAAAGACCCCAGGAUGAUUUUGAUGGAUGAGACAAGAGGACUUUAUCCAGGUGAGUGAGGGCUAAGGUAGAAUGGGACAGUCAUCAGUAUAGAUGACAGCUGUCCUAGUCAGGGUUUCUAUUGCUGCAGUGAAACACCAUGACCAAAAGCAGGCUAGGAAGGAAAGGGUUUAUUUGGCUUAUAUUUCUAGAUCAUAGUCCAUCAUUAGAGGAAGUCAGAACAGGAACUCAAGCAGAGCAGGAUCCUGGAGGCAGGAGCUGAUGCGGAGGCCAUGGGGGUUGCUGCUUACUGUCUUGCUCCUUGUGUCUUGCUCAGCCUGCUUUCUUAUAGAACCUAGGACCACCAGGUACCACCCACAAUGGGUUAGGCCCUUCCUCAUUGGUCACUAAUGGAGAAAGUGCCUUACAGCUGGAUCUUAUGGAGGCAUUUUCUCAGUUGAGGUUCCUUCUAUUCAGAUAACUCUAACUUAUGUCAAAUGGACAUAGAAUGAGCCAACACAAUAGCCUAGCUUCUUCAUGGGCAAGAAUACCAUUGAAAUAGCUUUUCACUGGCCAAAGGCUUGACACAGAUGUGGUUUAUAGGGCAAAACCUUUUCAGAUUAACUUUCUUUUCACUUCCAGUACUAAUGGAAGCUAUUGGGGUCCAGCCUCUAGAUAGCCGUCACCCAGAGUUCCAGAAGAGAAGCUACCAGCAACAGAUUAAUCCGAGGGGUUGACUAACAAAUCUA
Molecule: long non-coding RNA, 987 nt
Organism: Peromyscus californicus insignis
Lineage: Eukaryota; Metazoa; Chordata; Mammalia; Rodentia; Cricetidae
Exons: 3
Source: RefSeq, a predicted model, not a curated record